GGCGAACGCUGGCGGCGUGCUUAACACAUGCAAGUCGAACGGAAAGGCCCUGCUUUUGUGGGGUGCUCGAGUGGCGAACGGGUGAGUAACACGUGAGUAACCUGCCCUUGACUUUGGGAUAACUUCAGGAAACUGGGGCUAAUACCGGAUAGGAGCUCCUGCUGCAUGGUGGGGGUUGGAAAGUUUCGGCGGUUGGGGAUGGACUCGCGGCUUAUCAGCUUGUUGGUGGGGUAGUGGCUUACCAAGGCUUUGACGGGUAGCCGGCCUGAGAGGGUGACCGGCCACAUUGGGACUGAGAUACGGCCCAGACUCCUACGGGAGGCAGCAGUGGGGAAUAUUGCACAAUGGGCGGAAGCCUGAUGCAGCAACGCCGCGUGCGGGAUGACGGCCUUCGGGGUGUAAACCGCUUUCGCCUGUGACGAAGCGUGAGUGACGGUAAUGGGUAAAGAAGCACCGGCUAACUACGUG
Molecule: ribosomal RNA, 468 nt
Filed under: uncultured bacterium
Lineage: Bacteria
Description: partial 16S ribosomal RNA
Rfam family: Bacterial small subunit ribosomal RNA
Source: RNAcentral